This 149-nucleotide non-coding RNA is filed under the name Elusimicrobiota bacterium. Its description in RNAcentral is "Elusimicrobia bacterium (hot springs metagenome) 6S RNA". It matches the Rfam family "6S / SsrS RNA". From Rfam's summary of the family: E. coli 6S RNA was the first non coding RNA to be sequenced, but its function was unknown until recently. It consists of 184 nucleotides that fold into an extended hairpin structure with a large single-stranded internal bulge. Lineage: Bacteria; Pseudomonadati; Elusimicrobiota. The record is from RNAcentral.
UUAUCCCUGCGAUGUUGGUGCAACUUUAUCGAUUUUAGCCUACAAGUUCCGAUCAGGGAGUCGCACUACCGGCCCUCGCGGCCGGUGAUGACGCCCACUUAUGAUAGGGAGCUUUAAUCGGUAAAGAUUCACGGCAUCGCGGGGUUUUU